UCCCUAGUGGCUCAGAGGUUAAAGUGUCUGCCUCCAAUGCGGGAGACCCUGGUUCAAUCCCUGGGUUGGGAA
This 72-nucleotide transfer RNA is filed under the name Ovis aries (sheep). It matches the Rfam family "tRNA". Rfam says of the family: Transfer RNA (tRNA) molecules are approximately 80 nucleotides in length. The record is from Rfam by way of RNAcentral. Lineage: Eukaryota; Metazoa; Chordata; Mammalia; Artiodactyla; Bovidae.